UCCGGUUGAUCCUGCCGGAGGUUACUGCUAUCGGUGUUUGACUAAGCCAUGCGAGUCAAAUGUUCUUCGUGAACAUGGGGCAAUGCUCAGUAACACGUGGAUAACCUGCCCUCAGGUCCGGCAUAAUCUCGGGAAACUGAGGAUAAUUCCGGAUAUCCCUUUUCUGUUGGAAGACUUAAAGGGACAAAGAAUUUCGCCUGAGGAUGGGUCUGCGGCCUAUCAGGUUGUAGGGGGUGUAACGUACCUCCUAGCCGACGACGGGUACGGGUUGUGAGAGCAAGAGCCCGGAGGUGGAUUCUGAGACAUGAAUCCAGGCCCUACGGGGCGCAGCAGGCGCGAAAACUUUACAAUGCAGGAAACUGUGAUAAGGAGACACCGAGUGCUCGCAUCAAAUGCGGGCUGUCCGCUUACUUAAAUCGUAAGCGUUAGCAAGGGCCGGGCAAGACCGGUGCCAGCCGCCGCGGUAAUACCGGUGGCCCGAGUGGUAGCCGCUUUUAUUGGGUCUAAAGGGUCCGUAGCCGGUUCGGUCAGUCCAUUGGGAAAUCCGGAUGCUCAACAUCCGGGCUUCCAGUGGAUACUGCCGAACUUGGGAUCGGGGGAGGUAAGAGGUACUAUAGGGGUAGGAGUGAAAUCUUGUAAUCCCUGUGGGACCACCUGUGGCGAAGGCGUCUUACCAAAACGAGUCCGACGGUGAGGGACGAAAGCUGGGGGGCACGAACCCGGAUUAGAUACCCGGGUAGUCCCAGCCGUAAACGAUGCUCGCUAGGUGUCAGGCAUGGCGUGACUGUGUUUGGUGCCGAAGGGAAGCCGUGAAGCGAGCCACCUGGGAAGUACGGCCGCUAGGCUGAACUUAAAGGGAAUGGGCGGGGGG
RNAcentral lists this ribosomal RNA (871 nucleotides) under uncultured archaeon. Its description in RNAcentral is "bacterial SSU rRNA". It matches the Rfam family "Archaeal small subunit ribosomal RNA", at positions 1 to 875 of the family's 1478-position model. The record is from RNAcentral.